Molecule: ribosomal RNA, 659 nt
Filed under: uncultured fungus
Lineage: Eukaryota; Fungi
Description: eukaryotic LSU rRNA
Rfam family: Eukaryotic large subunit ribosomal RNA
Source: RNAcentral
CCCGCUGAACUUAAGCAUAUCAAUAAGCGGAGGAAAAGAAACUAACAAGGAUUCCCCUAGUAACUGCGAGUGAAGCGGGAAAAGCUCAAAUUUAAAAUCUGGCGUUCCUUUGGUCGUCCGAGUUGUAGUCUGGAGAAGUGUUUUCCGCGCUGGACCGUGUACAAGUCCCUUGGAAUAGGGCGUCAUAGAGGGUGAGAAUCCCGUCUUUGACAUGGACUACCAGUGCUUUGUGAUGCGCUCUCAAAGAGUCGAGUUGUUUGGGAAUGCAGCUCAAAAUGGGUGGUAAAUUCCAUCUAAAGCUAAAUACAGGCGAGAGACCGAUAGCGAACAAGUACCGUGAGGGAAAGAUGAAAAGCACUUUGGAAAGAGAGUUAAACAGUACGUGAAAUUGCUGAAAGGGAAACACUUGAGGUCAGUCGCAUCUGCUAGGACUCAGCCUUGCUUCUGCUUGGUGUACUUUCUAGUUUGAUGGGCCAGCAUCGAUUUUGACCGUUGGAAAAAGGUUGAGGGAAUGUGGCACCUUUGGGUGUGUUAUAGACCUCUAUCGCAUACAACGGUUUGGAUCGAGGACUGCAGCACGCCUUUAUGGCCGGGGUUCGCCCACGUACGUGCUUAGGAUGCUGGCAUAAUGGCUUUAAGUGACCCGUCUUGAAACACGG